RNAcentral lists this ribosomal RNA (1378 nucleotides) under Weissella confusa. RNAcentral's name for it is "bacterial SSU rRNA". It matches the Rfam family "Bacterial small subunit ribosomal RNA", at positions 70 to 1428 of the family's 1533-position model. Lineage: Bacteria; Bacillati; Bacillota; Bacilli; Lactobacillales; Lactobacillaceae. The record is from RNAcentral.
UGAUUUGAAGAGCUUGCUCAGAUAUGACGAUGGACAUUGCAAAGAGUGGCGAACGGGUGAGUAACACGUGGGAAACCUACCUCUUAGCAGGGGAUAACAUUUGGAAACAGAUGCUAAUACCGUAUAACAAUGACAACCGCAUGGUUGUUAUUUAAAAGAUGGUUCUGCUAUCACUAAGAGAUGGUCCCGCGGUGCAUUAGCUAGUUGGUAAGGUAAUGGCUUACCAAGGCGAUGAUGCAUAGCCGAGUUGAGAGACUGAUCGGCCACAAUGGGAUGAACCGCCCAUUCUAGGGAGCAGCAGUAGGGAAUCUUCCCAAUGGGGAAAGCCUGAUGGAGCAACGCCGCGUGUGUGAUGAAGGGUUUCGGCUCGUAAAACACUGUUGUAAGAGAAGAAUGACAUUGAGAGUAACUGUUCAAUGUGUGACGGUAUCUUACCAGAAAGGAACGGCUAAAUACGUGCCAGCAGCCGCGGUAAUACGUAUGUUCCAAGCGUUAUCCGGAUUUAUUGGGCGUAAAGCGAGCGCAGACGGUUAUUUAAGUCUGAAGUGAAAGCCCUCAGCUCAACUGAGGAAUUGCUUUGGAAACUGGAUGACUUGAGUGCAGUAGAGGAAAGUGGAACUCCAUGUGUAGCGGUGAAAUGCGUAGAUAUAUGGAAGAACACCAGUGGCGAAGGCGGCUUUCUGGACUGUAACUGACGUUGAGGCUCGAAAGUGUGGGUAGCAAACAGGAUUAGAUACCCUGGUAGUCCACACCGUAAACGAUGAGUGCUAGGUGUUUGAGGGUUUCCGCCCUUAAGUGCCGCAGCUAACGCAUUAAGCACUCCGCCUGGGGAGUACGACCGCAAGGUUGAAACUCAAAGGAAUUGACGGGGACCCGCACAAGCGGUGGAGCAUGUGGUUUAAUUCGAAGCAACGCGAAGAACCUUACCAGGUCUUGACAUCCCUUGACAACUCCAGAGAUGGAGCGUUCCCUUCGGGGACAAGGUGACAGGUGGUGCAUGGUUGUCGUCAGCUCGUGUCGUGAGAUGUUGGGUUAAGUCCCGCAACGAGCGCAACCCUUAUUACUAGUUGCCAGCAUUCAGUUGGGCACUCUAUGAGACUGCCGGUGACAAACCGGAGGAAGGUGGGGAUGACGUCAAAUCAUCAUGCCCCUUAUGACCUGGGCUACACACGUGCUACAAUGGCGUAUACAACGAGUUGCCAACCCGCGAGGGUGAGCUAAUCUCUUAAAGUACGUCUCAGUUCGGAUUGUAGGCUGCAACUCGCCUACAUGAAGUCGGAAUCGCUAGUAAUCGCGGAUCAGCACGCCGCGGUGAAUACGUUCCCGGGUCUUGUACACACCGCCCGUCACACCAUGAGAGUUUGUAACACCCAAAGCC